Molecule: ribosomal RNA, 468 nt
Filed under: uncultured bacterium
Lineage: Bacteria
Description: partial 16S ribosomal RNA
Rfam family: Bacterial small subunit ribosomal RNA
Source: RNAcentral
GACGAACGCUGGCGGCGUGCUUAACACAUGCAAGUCGAACGGAAAGGCCCUGCUUUUGUGGGGUGCUCGAGUGGCGAACGGGUGAGUAACACGUGAGUAACCUGCCCUUGACUUUGGGAUAACUUCAGGAAACUGGGGCUAAUACCGGAUAGGAGCUCCUGCUGCAUGGUGGGGGUUGGAAAGUUUCGGCGGUUGGGGAUGGACUCGCGGCUUAUCAGCUUGUUGGUGGGGUAGUGGCGUACCAAGGCUUUGACGGGUAGGCGGCCUGAGAGGGUGAACGGCCACAUUGCGACUGAGAUACGGACCAGACUCCUACGGGAGGCAGCAGUGGGGAAUAUUGCACAAUGGGCGGACGCCUGAUGCAGCAACGCCGCGUGCGGGAUGACGGCCUUCGGGUUGUAAACAGCUUUCGCCUGUGACGAAGCGUGAGUGACGGUAAUGGGUAAAGAAGCACCGGCUAACUACGUG